UUAUGACCUCGGAAAGAUCUGCACCUAGGAAAACGGUCAAACCGGUUUGCCAGGGCGGUCAGACCGGUUUGGUCUGUAUAGUCUGAGUUAGGAAUUGUAUUUUGACACGUGAUUUAUUAGGGUUUCGACUUCUAAUGGGGCAAGAGCUCCCCUCACUGUCACAGCCGAUUGAGGGUAUCCAAUCGAUCAAAAACAUUAUCAAUCUACUAUUUUUGCCUUUUUACCUUUUCUCUUUGCCGUAACUUUUUCAAUCCCCAUCUGCUGUUCUUCUUUCGUCUCUAUGACGUCUAAGGACAUUCUAGGUGGCCUACCG
This 313-nucleotide long non-coding RNA is filed under the name Setaria viridis. RNAcentral describes it as "long non-coding RNA (SVIR_LNC011449)". The record is from RNAcentral. Lineage: Eukaryota; Viridiplantae; Streptophyta; Magnoliopsida; Poales; Poaceae.